ACACAAGGGAGCUUGCUCCUGAGGUGUCGAGCGGCGGACGGGUGAGUAAUGCCUAGAUAUCUGCCUAGUCGUGGGGGAUAACAGUUGGAAACGACUGCUAAUACCGCAUACGCCCUACGGGGGAAAGGAGGGGACCUUCGGGCCUUUCGCGAUUAGAUGAGUCUAGGUGGGAUUAGCUAGUUGGUAAGGUAAUGGCUUACCAAGGCGACGAUCCCUAGCUGUUCUGAGAGGAUGAUCAGCCACACUGGGACUGAGACACGGCCCAGACUCCUACGGGAGGCAGCAGUGGGGAAUAUUGCACAAUGGGCGAAAGCCUGAUGCAGCCAUGCCGCGUGUGUGAAGAAGGCCUUCGGGUUGUAAAGCACUUUCAGCGAGGAGGAAAGGUUGGUAGUUAAUAGCUGCUAGCUGUGACGUUACUCGCAGAAGAAGCACCGGCUAACUUCGUGCCAGCAGCCGCGGUAAUACGAGGGGUGCAAGCGUUAAUCGGAAUUACUGGGCGUAAAGCGUACGCAGGCGGUUUGUUAAGCAAGAUGUGAAAGCCCCGGGCUCAACCUGGGAAUUGCAUUUUGAACUGGCAAACUAGAGUCUUGUAGAGGGGGGUAGAAUUUCAGGUGUAGCGGUGAAAUGCGUAGAGAUCUGAAGGAAUACCGGUGGCGAAGGCGGCCCCCUGGACAAAGACUGACGCUCAGGUACGAAAGCGUGGGGAGCAAACAGGAUUAG
Molecule: ribosomal RNA, 720 nt
Filed under: gamma proteobacterium GM59
Lineage: Bacteria; Pseudomonadati; Pseudomonadota; Gammaproteobacteria
Description: bacterial SSU rRNA
Rfam family: Bacterial small subunit ribosomal RNA
Source: RNAcentral